This is an RNA transcript of Megalobrama amblycephala (Wuchang bream), 1939 nucleotides long. RefSeq lists it as uncharacterized. Lineage: Eukaryota; Metazoa; Chordata; Actinopteri; Cypriniformes; Xenocyprididae. The record is from RefSeq and is a predicted model, not a curated record. The transcript has 12 exons.
AUGAUCACAAAUUUAAUUGGUCUAUAAAUGAAGUAUAAUAUAAUGAAAAUAUUUGUGAUUUAUCAAUAAAUAAUACAUUGUUAUGAGUUAAAUGUGUGAUUGAGAAUUUUAAAGUUAUAGACAGUGAUGUUGUGCCACGAUGCAGCAUUUGCUCAGUGCAGACAUCCGACUUGUAGAGGUGAGUGUAUGUUGAAGGGGGUCGAGCAGAUGUGGGUUAGGUUAUGUGGGCUACUGUCAGCCAGUGGAGUGACAAAAACCCUCCCCUUAUUUGAGCAGACAUAAAAGGAAAAUGAGACAUUGUGUUCGUUCUUGUUCCGUCCCAAGAUGCAUCUUCAAGUCUCCAUUGUUCUUCUUUUCAUUCUUCUCACUGGAGGAUUCUCUCUGAGCUGUUAUGAAUGCCGGAAUCAACAACAAGCUCGUUAUUGUUCAGAGACGACAUGUUCCAAUGCCAAUUGCAGAACUACAAAAUCAGUAGAAUACUUCGGACCCUAUAGAGAAGAGGCAGAUAACUGGCAACGGGAACGGGACAGGAUCCCGAGCCGGAUUAAGAACAAACACGCUGCAUGUCCCGGCAAAGGCAUAAGGGAGGAAACCAAUUCUAGAGGGUGUGCUAAGCCACAUGAAUGUAAAAGCUGGUCUCUUGGCACAGGCUGCUGGACAAGAGAAUAUAUUUCCGAAUGCUGUGACACCUACCUUUGCAAUCGACAAGUUUCAGGUUCAUUCUCUCAUAAGCUCAAUGGGAAGAGAUGCUUCACUUGUGAUGAAGAGGACUGCUCAAAAACAAUCAGUUGUUGGGGGAAUGAAGACUACUGCUUUACUGCAUUCGAACCUUCUUCACAUCAGUCAGCGGCUACAAAAGGAUGUGCAUCGAAAUUUGCCUGUGAUCAAGAGCCAGGAAAGAUUGUAGGAUUUGUGGAAAGCCUUCCCAGAAGAGUUGAAGCUGUUGGAGCUGCAAAGGGAUUCUCUCUGAGCUGUUAUGAAUGCCGGAAUCAACAACAAGCUCAUUAUUGUUCAAAGACGACGACAUGUUACACUGCCAAUUGCAGAACUACAAAAUCAGUAGAAUACUUUGGACCCUAUAGAGAAGAGGCAGAUAACUGGCAACGGGAACGGGACAGGAUCCCGAGCCGGAUAAAGUACAAACACGCUGCAUGCCCCGGCAAAGGCAUAACGGAGGAAACCAUAUCUUAUGGGUGUGCUUUGCCACAUGAAUGUAAAAGCUGGUCUCUUGGCACAGGCUGCUGGAUAAGAGAACAUAGUUCCAAAUGCUGCAACACCAACCUUUGCAAUCGACAAUCUUCAGAAACAGAUGAAACUGAGACAAACUAAAUCCAGGAGAACUGUGGCCGUGUCUCCAAAUGCUUGAAGAAACCGACCUGCAAAGCUACAGUACUGUGAAGAGUUUUAGGCACUUGUGUAAAAAUGCUGUAAAGUGAGGAUGCUUUCAAAAAUAAUGUCAUAAAUGGAUUUUAUUUAUGAGAUCAGAUCUCCGUGUGGAGCACUGGCUGUUGUCAGACUUAUUGUGCAUUAAAAAAAUCUCACUGGAUUAUUACAAAUAAUGGCAAAAUGAACGAUUGGAAAUGUGAACUGAUAAUUCCUACUGACACACUACAGCAAAAGAUAUAAAUAACUGGCUUAAAACCCUUUUUGGGGGUGAAAAUACUGACGUGCCUAAGACUUUUGCACACUUUUUUUCAAUGCACUUUAAUGUAAAUCCCACAGCUGAUGUGUAGUUUGAUUGCAAUGUUAUAUUUUUUAAUAAAGAAAUAAAAAGAAAAUUUUUCUUGCAGUUUCGUUCUCUCAUAUCCCCAAUGGGAAGAGAUGUUUCACUUGUGAUGAAGAGGACUGCUCAAAAACAAUCAGUUGUUGGGGGAAUGAAGACUACUGCUUUACUGCAUACGAACCUUCUUCACAUCAGUCAGCGGCUACGAAAGGAUGU